AUGAGGGUGCUGAGAAAUGUUGAAGAUGUUGGUGGGGAAAAUCUGACGGGAAAACUAAGCUUGGCGCCUGUGGAAACUUUGUGGAACGAAUGGGAGAUCCACUGCCUGGUGCUCACGAGCUUGGCAUUGCAAUUCCUCCUCUUCCUCGCAGCAGGGAUGCGAAGGCGUAGCACAUCGUGCAUCCUCGGCGCCGUCCUGUGGCUCGCCUACCUGUUAGCCGACUCUGUGGCUGUCUUCGUCCUUGGCCACCUCGCCGUCCGCGUGAGCGGACCACAACACGAGCUCAUCGCCUUCUGGGCACCAUUCCUGCUCGUCCACCUGGGCGGACAGGACACCAUCACCGCCCUGUCCAUGCAGGACAAUGAGUUGUGGAAUCGUCACCUCCUAGGCCUCGUCUCCCAGGUGGCAGUGGCCGGCUAUGUCGUGUCCAAGCCGUCUUGGACAGAUAAGCGGCUGUUGGCUGCCACCGUGCUCGUCUUCCUCUCUGGGAGCUUCAAGUAUGCUGUCCGCACUUGCUGCCUUUACAUAGCCAGGCCAGCACAAAUCAGGGGUGCAUCCAUGCGUAUUUUGUCAGACACACUAACGAUGCUGAAGGAUGCCACGGAAGAUGUAGGACAUGCGCCCACACUCCUGAGAACACAGAGAGAUUUACUUAGGUUUUGGAAUGCCAAAUUUGAUUUGAUGCUGGGUAAAUCUGACAAGAGGGGUUUUCUUUUGGAGAAGGAAAUAUAUCAAGAUGCCAAGGAAAUCAUGUCGGUGGACGCUCCUCCAAAUAACAAGGAGAGCGUUUUACUUCGGGAUGAUCUGCCAAACAUGCUAGAGAAGUUUCAAUCAACCUCAUGCCUCCAUCAGCCAUAUGACUAUGUUGGCAGAAAUUUGGUAAAAUGUUAUGAGAGGUUCUACACAAAAAUGCCACUUCUACGUUUCUUCCACACGGUCGUUAUCCUACUCCAAAAUUUUCCUAUCCCGAUAGCCCUAGUGCUCUUCACCAUGGCUGAAAAGGGGAACCAAAUCCAUAAUAGAGCUGAUGUUACUGUGUCCUACAUAUUGCUCAUAGGAGCCAUAAUCCUAGACGUGUCCUCUGCCUCCAUGUCCAUUCUUUCCUUCGUGGGAUCCAACAUUUGUAGAGGUAGGAUUAAAAUCAUGGUCUUGAGUGUGGCCAACUACAUUCAGCCAACAUGUUACAAAAGACAGUGGUCCGAGGAGUUAGCGCAAUACAGCAUGGUUAAGAGGUACGCCACAGGAGAUGCUAGAGGCAUGCCAUAUGUGCGGCAAUGGAUUGGCAAGCGUUUAAUAGCUUGCGGUGUCGAACUAUUGGAUCCAAGCAUGACACACACACAUGUCACCGAAGAUCUCAAGGGGUUUGUCCUCAACAAAUUGGUACAGUUUGGAAUUAAAAAACAGUACAAUUUUGCCGAUUUCCGUGGCCAGCUAGCACUUCAAGAGUGGAGGAAGAAUGGUCCAGGGACGGAGGCUCUGUAUUAUAGCAUCAACGAGGUGAAGGAUUUCCCCACAAGCAUCCUAAUCUGGCAUAUUGCAACAGACAUUUGCUACUACUCUGGAAGCAGCUGCACGGCCAACACAGAAUGUGAUAGCAGCUCUGAACUCGGUCAUAACAAAGUAUAUGUUGAAAUGAAGAAUGUUCUUCGAUUGCAGCAGCUACAGAUGGUUAAUCCAAGAGAAGAAGCUAUCAUGAAGAAACUCCUGGAGAGCAUGGCCGAUGCUAUUUAUUUUCCAAUACUGCAUCAUGCAACUAAGGUGGCCAAGGAGCUCAUGGGUAUCAAUGAUGAAGGUGAGCGGUGGGAUCUCAUCACUGCAGUGUGGUCAGAUAUGCUGUACUACAUCGCGCCUCGUUGUGGGUGCACUUUCCAUUAUCAGCAUCUUAGCACAGGUGGGGAGUUCAUCACACAUGUCCUACACCUCAUGCAUUCUCUAGGCCCAUUUCUACCAGGACCUGGCAAUUCAGCUCCUGUCCAGUCGUCUACCCUUGGUGUGGAGCCGAAGCGGACGCUCCAACAAACGCACAAAAAACGCGCGCGUGGUAUAAUGCGUUCAGCGCAUGGAGUAAAACUACAUCACGCGCCGCUUAUUUCGUGUGCCCGCUCCCGCGCGUUGGACAUUCGAGCGCCCGCUCCCGCGCGCUGGACAUUCGAGCGCCCGCGACCAACCGCCGCCCACCUUCCCGGCAGCCCCGCCUUCGACCCGCCCCGCGCCACCGCCGGUGAAAUUCGACCGAUGGAAGGCCGCGCCGACAUCCCCCUCACCUCUCCCUACACCCGCGACCCCUCCACCGUCGCCGCAAACCCUAGCACGGGGGUUGAGCUUCGGCUUCGGCCCGGCGGCCCCCCUCCAAGCGCCGGUCUCACAGGCGGCCUUUUCAUGCCGCCACGGACGACCUUGCAGGGUGGCCCACGGGUAGCCGUCUCCAAGCGACCAAAUGCUGCGACGGUGACAGCGGGGAAGGUGUCCCAGAAGAAGAAGAAGGAGGAUGGCCCUUCUAGGCGGCCAAAGAUGAAGCUUGCAGGGCGUCUGGUCGUGCCUCCGCCGACUGACGCGGCGGAGAGCUCGCAAUUUGUUGUGCCGGCGGCCGACGCGCACAAGUGCAUGAAGACGAUCAUGAGUUUGAGGUGGAUGAGGAUGGAGGGUAUAGUCGAUGCACCGAAAGAAAGAGAGGGCAACUACACCAUGGAGGAAGACAUUUUGCUAUGCAAUACAUGGUUACAUGUGUUUAUGGAUGCCAACAUUGGAUGGGACCAAAGUAGAGAUGCAUAUUGGGACCGGAUGAAGGAGCACAUUGAUUUACAAAACAAGACUGGAAUUGACCGCACGGAUAGAUCUCUUUGGUCUCGGUGGUCGACAAUCAACAAAGAUUGUCAAAGGUGGGCGGUGGCACUUAAGGCGGUUGACACGAUAAAUCCAAGUGACACUAAUGAUAGAGAUAGGCUCACUAUUGCACGAAACUUAUUUCAAGGAGAAGAGAAGAAGACCAAGAAAGGAAACGCAUGGGAGCAACCAUGGGAGGCAUGGGAGGCUUCGGAGGCAUGGGUUGCUUUCGGGGCUACCAUGGGAGGCAUGGGAGCACCGACGGGAGGCAUGGGAGCACCUAUGGGAGGCAAGGGUGGCUUCGGAGCAACCAUGAGCGGUAUGGGAGGCUUCAGAGCUACCAUGGGAGGCAUUGGUGGCUUAGCAGCUACCAUGGGCAGCACGGGAGGCACGAGCUUUGGCUCUCUCAAGAGAGGCAUGGGAGCACCUCCGGGUGACAUUGGUGGACACAUGUCUUUCGGUGUGCCUCACAUACCUUUGCAUGAUGCCGUUGGAUAUCUUGCGAACACCAUUCGAGCUCCCAAUGACGAUGCGGCGCGCGACAAUGAAGAGGAGGGGGAAGAAUCGUCUUCGGAUGAGGAAGAAUCGGAGGAAGAAGAAGACGACGAUGAUAUCUACUUGUGUUGUUGGGGCUACACACUACGUACGUUCGAUCCCCAAAAUUUCCGCACCCCAAAACCUUUUCUCCUGAUCAAGAUCAAUCGCAAAUCCAUGAAUCUGGGAUCGGGGCCUAGGGUCGACUCGCAGGCGUCGCCGCGAUCUGCAGCUGGGGCAGACCGCAUCAGCACGCGCCAGCGUCCUCUCCAGCCGGUGGAACGGCCUCUGGACCCGCCUUCUAUGAUCUAUACUGGCAUCACCCUCAACGCUAUCACGGUCCGCUCGCCGUCGCUGCAGGAGCUCGUGCUCGAGGUGGAGAGCCAAACGAGCGUACGCGGCUUCAUGGUCGCAGCACCCAUGCUGGAGCAACUAACCGUGUCCGCCCGGGUGAGAGACGACCUCAGCGUCUCCGUACUGGCGCCAAUAUAUGGCGAUGUCUCAUGGCACUGCCGUUACCGCAGCAAGUCCAUGGGGAUUGGAGGCUGGGCGCUUGAGAGAGUGAGCCUUGUGAUGUCGCCGACGGCGAGACGACAAGCUCCAGUGCUGCAGAUACAAGUUUUCAAGGACAAAGUGAAUUGCCAAAAGUAUUGCGGCUGCGAGCCUAAUGACUGGACAGGCCAAACUAUCACCUUGACGGAGAUUGAAGAAGUGGAAAUCGACGGUUUUCAAGGAGACAACUACGAGUUUGACUUCCUGGAACAUCUAUUAAGAUGUGCGCCGAUGCUUAAAAGAGUGAUCCUAAAAUGGUCAGGAUGA
Molecule: ribosomal RNA, 4176 nt
Filed under: Triticum aestivum (bread wheat)
Lineage: Eukaryota; Viridiplantae; Streptophyta; Magnoliopsida; Poales; Poaceae
Description: partial small subunit ribosomal RNA
Source: RNAcentral